UAUCGCUAUGGGAUGAGCUUGCGUCCGAUUAGCUAGUUGGUAGGGUAAUGGCCUACCAAGGCAGUGAUCGGUAGCCGACCUGAGAGGGUGAUCGGCCACAUUGGGAUUGAGAUACGGCCCAGACUCCUACGGGAGGCAGCAGUAAAGAAUAUUGCGCAAUGGGGGGAACCCUGACGCAGCAACGCCACGUGUGGGAAGAAGCAUUUCGGUGUGUAAACCACUGUCGAAAAGGAAUAAUAGAAGAUUUCGGUCUUUUUGAAUGUACUUUUAAUAGGAAGCACCGGCAAACUUCGUGCCAGCAGCCGCGGUAAUACAUAGGGGGCGAGCGUUAUCCGGAAUUAUUGGGCGUAAAGGGUACGUAGGCGGGCCUGCAAGUCUGAUUUGAAAGCACACGGCUUAACCGUGUGAGGUAAUUAGAAACUACAGGUCUAGAGAGUGGUAGAGGUAAAUGGAAUUCCAAGUGGAGCGGUGAAAUGCGUAGAGAUUUGGAGGAACACCAGUGGCGAAGGCGGUUUACUGGGCCACAUCUGACGCUGAUGUACGAAAGCGUGGAAGCAAACAGGAUUAGAUACCCUGGUAGUCCACGCCCUAAACGAUGAAGUGCUAAGUAUCGGUAGAUUCGGUGCUUAAGAUAACGCAGUAAGCACUCCGCCGGGGGAGUGCGGGUCGCAAGACUGAAACUCAAAGGAAUUGACGGGGGCUCGCACAAGCGGUGGAGCAUGCGGUGUAAUUCGAUGCAACGCGAAGAACCUUACCAGGUCUUGACAGUGUAAAGAAUACUUAAGAGAUUAAGGGCUAAGAAUUAAGCUUGCUUAUUUCACUUUAUAAACAGGUGGUGCAUGGUUGUCGUCAGCUCGUGUCGUGAGAUGUUGGGUUAAGUCCCGCAACGAGCGCAACCCCUAUUGCUAGUUGCCAUCAUUAAGUUGGGCACUCUAGCAAGACUGCCGGUGACAAAUCGGAUGAAGGUGGGGAGGACGUCAAAUCAUCAUGCCCCCUAUGACCUGGGCUACACGCGUGCUACAAUGGCUAAUACAA
RNAcentral lists this ribosomal RNA (1035 nucleotides) under uncultured bacterium. RNAcentral's name for it is "bacterial SSU rRNA". It matches the Rfam family "Bacterial small subunit ribosomal RNA", at positions 213 to 1242 of the family's 1533-position model. The record is from RNAcentral.